Molecule: unclassified non-coding RNA, 169 nt
Filed under: uncultured Helotiales
Lineage: Eukaryota; Fungi; Ascomycota; Leotiomycetes; Helotiales
Description: sequence contains ITS1
Source: RNAcentral
CCGAGUUCAUGCCCUCACGGGUAGAUCUCCCACCCUAUGUUAUCAUUACCUUCGUUGCUUUGGCGGGCCGUCAGGCUUCGGCUAGGCUAUCGGCUCCGGCUGGUAAGCGCCCGCCAGAGGACCCUAAACUCUGAAUGUUAGUGUCGUCUGAGUAAAAUAUAAUAAGUUA